Molecule: non-coding RNA, 72 nt
Organism: Caenorhabditis brenneri
Lineage: Eukaryota; Metazoa; Nematoda; Chromadorea; Rhabditida; Rhabditidae
Source: the annotation of a GenBank genome assembly
GAACCCAUGGCGUAGUGGAUAGCGCUCUUGCUUAUAAAUUUUUGUCCUCAGGUUCAAUUCCGGGUGGGGUCA